Acanthosepion pharaonis is the source of this 108-nucleotide non-coding RNA. The record is from the annotation of a GenBank genome assembly. Lineage: Eukaryota; Metazoa; Mollusca; Cephalopoda; Sepiida; Sepiidae.
UACGAUUAUAUCACGUUGAAACACCGGUUCGCGCACGAUCACCGAAAUUAAGCAACGUCAAGCCUGGCGAGUACCUACAUGGGUGACCGCUUGGAAAUACCAGUUGCU